Arabidopsis thaliana (thale cress) is the source of this 296-nucleotide long non-coding RNA. RefSeq annotates it as other RNA. Lineage: Eukaryota; Viridiplantae; Streptophyta; Magnoliopsida; Brassicales; Brassicaceae. The transcript has a single exon. The record is from RefSeq.
AGCCUCUCUUUUUUAUUCCCUACGAAAAGCCUCAGCGCCGGUGUUCUUCUUCUAUGCACCAAACAAAGAUCAGCUAUCUCAACUCGUUUUUUUGUGAAAUGGCUAGACAAGAAAAAAUCUGCUUAACUUACACUCGUAAAACAUGAAUUUGAGUGUUUUGGGAAAAAAGCUGUUCUCCAACACAAUGUGUUUAAAUUGUGUAGUUACUAACCAUCAAGUUACCAUUUUCGUAAUAUAAAUUCAAAUUUUAUCACACGAAUUAAAAACAAGUCACUCUUUCCUUCUUCGUGAAUGCG